Molecule: long non-coding RNA, 240 nt
Filed under: Gallus gallus (chicken)
Lineage: Eukaryota; Metazoa; Chordata; Aves; Galliformes; Phasianidae
Description: long non-coding RNA NONGGAT003583
Source: RNAcentral
GGGCUGCAAAUUCGGUUGUGAUGGAGACCGUGUCCCUGGAGCACCAGAUCCAGAGUGUGCAGAGGCACAUCGCUUUCCUGAAGAAGGAGCAGAUGGAGCUGCUCCAUGGCCUGCACCUGGAGAUCCUCCGCCUGCAGAAGCACUGCUCAGAGCUGACCCACGACCUUGAGAUGAAGGAGCUGGAGGCCCGCCAGCAAGGGGCACUGGAGACCCCUGGGGAGUGACUCAAAGCUAGCAGAC